This is a long non-coding RNA of Canis lupus familiaris (dog), 1776 nucleotides long. RefSeq lists it as uncharacterized. The transcript has 3 exons. Lineage: Eukaryota; Metazoa; Chordata; Mammalia; Carnivora; Canidae. The record is from RefSeq and is a predicted model, not a curated record.
CUCCAGCAUCUGUAGCCGAUCUUGUCCAUGGUCUUCUCAUCUGCACUCGCCCUCUGCUCGCCUGAUACUUUGCCCGACUGUUCACAGAGAGAUUAGAUCCCAACCCGCAAGAGCUGAGUCCAUAUCCUCUGCUCACCCCAACGACAGAGAGGAGUAUGCACAGGUCUGCACCCGUCUUAUGCUUCUCCACCGUGGCAGGAGAAAAUGUGGCCUGCCCUCCCUCCUCCUGUCAAAAGUCAAGUCUGAGAUAAGACUUGGAUAUAAAGGAAUCCAGAAUACAGUUUUGAACUAUAGACACUUAAAAAGUAGCGGCAGCAGCGAAGAAACACACGCAACCCCCCCAGCAGGUGGAAGGAGGGUGUGCUGACUCCCCCUCCCUUUCUUUGGAGAAGGACACCCCCUCCCAGGCCCCUGGAAGGUGCCUUGGAGGAGGUGCCAGGAGGGGAUGAAUGACAUUCUUGUCUUCAAGGACAGGGAGUCGAGCAUGAGCAGGAGAAUUCUGGACAGAUGGAUCUUGUUUAAAAAAGAAAAGAAAAAAGAAAAGAGAAGAAAAGAAAUCCGUAUGUGCCUUUAGCCUCCCCACAUAGUUGAGUUCCUCUCCCACAAUCUCUUCUCCUUGUUCACCCCAACGGACAAGCAGUGAGUGGUCUGCGAGGCAGACAAAAUGGACCAUCUUAAGCAGUUUUUGUGGACAAAUCACAGCAGUUAUUGGUGCCCAUCCUGAAUAAUCAAGUUUGGAUUUCACAAAUGUGCAGUAAUUCCAUACUUUCCUGCAGCAUGCCUGAGUGUAUAAACUGUAAUAAGGGAUUAUUCAAGGUAACAAACGAUUGUUGUUUAUUAAGGACAAAAUAAGCCUCUUGAUUUGUGUACUUGCUAAUAAUAGUUCUGCUUGACUUUAAUGCAAACACUGUAAAAUAGACAAAUUCUCAGGAUUCUCUGUUAAAAUUUAGAUGUUUAGGCUAGCUAAAGCAUUCGGCUAUGCUUUUAUAUUUUUAAUGUCUCUGAGAAUGACUCAGAGUUUAGUGGUUAGAAUCACACUCUUAACACAGGCUCUCUUGCAUAGCAACAAUGAAAACAGAUCCAAGUUAGUGGCUCUCUUCCACUAAUAGUUAACUAAAGCAAAGACUACAGGUUUCAUAUCAUAAUUAGGGCAUGCUUUAAAGAAAAUCAUUGUAUUGCUGAUAAACCUUAAUAGCGUGACCAGUAAGGAGCUGCCUAAUAAAUAAAUCUGUGGGAAUCCCUGGUGUCUCUCGUGAAUAAAUAAAUAAAAUCUUUAAAAAAAAAUCUGUUAUUGUUUAACACAUAGAGAUAGCUCUUAGGCAUUGGAGCACUCCACGAUGAUGUAAAAAGUUCCUCUGAUGUAUCCUUCAUACCAUAGUGUAACAUCACAUUUUGUGCAAAAGUCCGUGUUUAUACCAACAUUCUAUGGAGCAAUCUAUGGACUAAGCUUCAGCUUAAACACAUCUUUGUGGAGGUCAUUAGACUGUUAACUGUUAGUUUAAUUUGAAUAUACCUUGCUUUUUAAAAACCAUAUUCUCUUUAAUUGCCGGGCAUACUAAACACGAAAUUCUUCAUUUGUGCAUGUGUUUAAAAGCAUUUGUUUUUUUCUACACGGGAAUGGCUAUUUAAAGGGGGGAAAAAACCCAAGAUAUUUUCAUGUAGAAAUAAAAAGCCAAAUGCUUUUGUGUCUGAGACUUCUGAAAUAGUUGACCCUGUUCAACAGCUACUCGGUCUUAAAAUUUGAUGUAAUUAGGAUCUCAGUCUCUCAAGACAAUG